Molecule: ribosomal RNA, 433 nt
Filed under: uncultured bacterium
Lineage: Bacteria
Description: partial 16S ribosomal RNA
Rfam family: Bacterial small subunit ribosomal RNA
Source: RNAcentral
AACGAACGCUGGCGGCGUGCCUAACACAUGCAAGUCGAACGAGAAGUUCGGGCUUUGUGGCGCACGUGUGCGUACGGCGUGGGAAGUUGCACUUAGGUUCGGAAUACCUGCCCGAAAGGGAUCCUCAUGCAGCUUAGUGUCUUCGCACCAAGGAUUUCUUGCUUUAGGAUGGGGGCUCGUUAGAUUAGGCAGUUGGUAGGGUAAAAGCCUCCCAAGGCGACGUUGCAUAGCUGGUCUGGGAGGAUGAUCAGCAGCACUGGGGCUGAGACACGGCCCAGACUCCUACGGAAGGCAGCAGUGGGGAACAUUGGACAAUGGGCGAAAGCCUGAUCCAGCAGUGCCGCGGAUGUGAUGAAGGCCGUAGUGAUGUAAAGCUCUUUUACCCGGGAUGAUAAUGACAGUACCGGGAGAAGAAGCUCCGGCUAACUCCGUG